GACAGAGGUGCCGUGCGUUAGGCGGAAUCACUGGGCUUAAAGCGUGUGUAGGCGGAUCGUUAAGUACCUUGUGAAAUCCCACGGCUUAACCGUGGAACUGCUGGGUAUACUGGCGAUCUUGAGCCACCUAGGGGCAACCGGAACAAAUGGUGGAGCGGUGAAAUGCGUAGAUAUCAUUUGGAACGCCAAUGGUGAAAACAGGUUGCUGGGGGUGUGCUGACGCUGAGACACGAAAGCCAGGGGAGCGAACGGG
Molecule: ribosomal RNA, 253 nt
Filed under: uncultured bacterium
Lineage: Bacteria
Description: partial 16S ribosomal RNA
Rfam family: Bacterial small subunit ribosomal RNA
Source: RNAcentral